This 497-nucleotide ribosomal RNA is filed under the name uncultured bacterium. RNAcentral describes it as "partial 16S ribosomal RNA". It matches the Rfam family "Bacterial small subunit ribosomal RNA", at positions 28 to 507 of the family's 1533-position model. The record is from RNAcentral.
GAUGAACGCUGGCGGCGUGCCUAAUACAUGCAAGUCGAGCGAACGGACGAGAAGCUUGCUUUUCUGAUGUUAGAGGCGGACGGGUGAGUAACACGUGGAUAACCUACCUAUAAGACUGGGAUAACUUCGGGAAACCGGAGCUAAUACCGGAUAAUAUUUUGAACCGCAUGGUUCAAAAGUGAAAGACGGUCUUGCUGUCACUUAUAGAUGGAUCCGCGCUGCAUUAGCUAGUUGGUAAGGUAACGGCUUACCAAGGCAACGAUGCAUAGCCGACCUGAGAGGGUGAUCGGCCACACUGGAACUGAGACACGGUCCAGACUCCUACGGGAGGCAGCAGUAGGGAAUCUUCCGCAAUGGGCGAAAGCCUGACGGAGCAACGCCGCGUGAGUGAUGAAGGUCUUCGGAUCGUAAAACUCUGUUAUUAGGGAAGAACAUAUGUGUAAGUAACUGUGCACAUCUUGACGGUACCUAAUCAGAAAGCCACAGCUAACUACGUG